AAUAUCUGCACUCACACAGAAAGGGCCAUGAAUAUCAUUUUCGAAUUGGUCUACGUAUCCAUUAAAAUAUUUCGUCAUUAGACAUUCUCCAUCAGAUAAAAUGAUCGAAAAUUGAUCAUCCCAGCAUAUGCCAGCGAUGACAUUGAGCUAUGCAGUGAAUUUCUGAAGGAAAUAUCUCAGGCGUAUGCAGCUGCUCUCGUAAUCAAAUACGAGGAAGAUCCAGGAUGCUGAUGAGAGGUUCACUAAUGAGCUCGCAUAUUCCGGAGUUUAGAGGGACCAUCGGAAUUUCACGUUCCUACAAAGAUACCACUUAUUGAAAUAUUUGCCAGAUUCCACCCUGUUCCAGUAACCGAAUGCAAGGCAAGGAGAAGUAGAAUCGUUGGGGAUGGAGCCCGGCCCGGGAGAGAGAGAGCGGGGCCAGGCAAUAUCCGCAUUCCAGAAGAAGGAAUCCCGCGUUGACAGCUCCUGAUAUUGCAGAGCCGGGGUGUCUGAUAACGACUCCGCUCCAGGAAUGUCGUUAGCUUUCCAAAAAUAACAUUUAGACAGCGUUAUUUAUGGGACCGGGAACGCCGCGCGGCCGUGGGGUUGGGGGACCGCUCUCCCUCGCCCCUUCUUCCCGCCCUACCCCUGCAAUAUCGGAAUACUAUCGUGUAAUUUUCAUUACCGCUGGAUGCUGGA
Molecule: long non-coding RNA, 678 nt
Organism: Coccinella septempunctata (seven-spotted ladybird)
Lineage: Eukaryota; Metazoa; Arthropoda; Insecta; Coleoptera; Coccinellidae
Exons: 3
Source: RefSeq, a predicted model, not a curated record